UUUAAAUUUUUCAUAUUUUUUUACUUGAACUAAAUAUUAUGUUUUGUCCGUUUAUUAUCAAAAGUGUCAGACAUCACAAAGAAUAUGGGAAUGUCAUAAACAACUUGACAUCACGUACUGAAAGUGUCCUUUUCGCUCCUUGUCAGUGCAAAUUUUGCUUUAGUGUUAUUGUAUUUAUAUUUGAUUCUCUGCGAAAAAAUCAUCCCUGCUGAUUUAUUUUUUGAGACGUUUCCAAAUAGCAUUAUGGUUUGAUAUCUCAAACUCUGAAAUAAUUUCAUCUGUGGAAGCAAAAAUGAUGCCGCUGAAAAAUCUAAAGAAACAAAAAAAAACUACGCAAGUGAGUUGAAUAUGGGAUUGUGUAUGAAAAUGGAGUAUAACCACUGAUUUUACGAGUUACAAUUCAAUUUGUAAACACAUUGCAUGACAAAGACUGCGUUUCUAACUUUCAAUAUAUACAAUAUUAUGUUGUCCAAGAAUUAAUGGUGAAAUGUCUUCGAAGUAGCAUAAAUCUAUCUAAAAAAAUUAAUAAUUGAAAUAUGUUAAGAAUCAUUUGAAUUAACGAU
Molecule: long non-coding RNA, 563 nt
Organism: Hermetia illucens (black soldier fly)
Lineage: Eukaryota; Metazoa; Arthropoda; Insecta; Diptera; Stratiomyidae
Exons: 3
Source: RefSeq, a predicted model, not a curated record